GUGGGUAUAGCUCAGUGUAGAGCAUGUGCUCAGCAUGCAUGAGGUCCUGGGUUCAAUCCCCAGUCCCACC
RNAcentral lists this transfer RNA (70 nucleotides) under Camelus bactrianus (Bactrian camel). It matches the Rfam family "tRNA". Rfam says of the family: Transfer RNA (tRNA) molecules are approximately 80 nucleotides in length. Their secondary structure includes four short double-helical elements and three loops (D, anti-codon, and T loops). RNAcentral also lists the same sequence under 2 other names. The record is from Rfam by way of RNAcentral. Lineage: Eukaryota; Metazoa; Chordata; Mammalia; Artiodactyla; Camelidae.